UACGUAGGGUGCGAGCGUUGUCCGGAAUUACUGGGCGUAAAGAGCUCGUAGGUGGUUUGUCGCGUUGUCCGUGAAAACUCACAACUCAAUUGUGGGCGUGCGGGCGAUACGGGCAGACUGGAGUACUGCAGGGGGAGACUGGAAUUCCUGGUGUAGCGGUGGAAUGCGCAGAUAUCAGGAGGAACACCGGUGGCGAAGGCGGGUCUCUGGGCAGUAACUGACGCUGAGGAGCGAAAGCUAGGGGAGCAAACAGG
RNAcentral lists this ribosomal RNA (254 nucleotides) under uncultured bacterium. Its description in RNAcentral is "partial 16S ribosomal RNA". It matches the Rfam family "Bacterial small subunit ribosomal RNA", at positions 524 to 776 of the family's 1533-position model. The record is from RNAcentral.